UUUGAAUUUGUACGUGGUUUAUGCGAUAUUUUGUUCUGCAGGCUUGCCAUUGGCUUGAUCAUAACCUCGUCAGUGGAUAUCGCAAUCAUGAGGGAAAGCCGUAUUAUAUUUUUGGGAAUGAAAUCUGCGCCCGAAACAGUGAUACAAUAAUUUGACAAGAGUAACAAUUCGAAUAACUUGGAGAACAACGAAAAAUGGAAUCGAAUGGAAUGGAACCGAUGGAAUGUGUAUUCAUUGCUGGCCGCCUAUGAAUCGCCAACCAAAGUUGCUGAGAUGUUAUAAAUAUUGUGAUCGGAAUUUUGGAAAUCAUGAAGUUUAUGAAUCUAACACGUUACAUUACAUUUGAUCUGCCCGCCACAUAACCUCACUGGCUGAAUCAUGAAAAGUAUGGAAUCAUCGGGAUUUAUAGGAUUGAAAAUACGCAUUGUUUGCGUAUAUGUGUUGUUUAUCCAAUAAUUUCAUCCGCAACCAUGCUGUUGAGAUCAUAACUUUGCUAAUGAAUAUCGUAACUAAACUAUAAAUGUACCAACGACAACAAUAAGCCAAGCCGCACAUUGCUGGAAAGCCAUGCAGGGGUUGGACAACGGAAACCCCAUUUUGGUAAACGUAUCCUUGCAGGACGUGUUUCAAAUAGUAAGAAACGAUGGGUUGUGUUGUCAAGUGAACUGUUAGUUUCGCUAAGAAAAGUUAUUUGCUGGAAAGGAGCUAGUAGCAUUGGUCGAAUUUGAAUAAUUUGUUUGUUUGGAUGCAAUUUAAAUUAUCUGCUUGUAAGAGUCACAGGAACAACUGAACUAUUUGUAAAUCGAUGAGUGGAGUGAUUGGUUAAGUGUGUCGCGUAAAAGGGAUGUCUUCGAAGUGCUGCGCGGUAAGCAAAUGUUUUACAUUACUCAUUUAUCAAAAUGGUGGCAUAUUGUUUUAAAACUGGCAAUGUGAAUUGGUUUUUCUGGGAUGAAGUUUGUUAAGUUGGUUUAAUGUAAUUUGAUGUAAACAUAAGGUUAAAGAGAUAAAAGAUUGGAUAGUUUAUCAACUGCAGGUUUCGGCGUAGAAAUAAGUUUUCUCUGGUUACGCGCAUCUUUAUGUUCACUAGAGAAUUGUUUCGCUUAGAUAACUUUAGCUUGAGUUUAAUUUGUUAUUCAAACAGAUGU
Molecule: long non-coding RNA, 1145 nt
Organism: Anopheles coustani
Lineage: Eukaryota; Metazoa; Arthropoda; Insecta; Diptera; Culicidae
Exons: 5
Source: RefSeq, a predicted model, not a curated record